RNAcentral lists this ribosomal RNA (1060 nucleotides) under uncultured bacterium. RNAcentral's name for it is "bacterial SSU rRNA". It matches the Rfam family "Bacterial small subunit ribosomal RNA", at positions 8 to 1064 of the family's 1533-position model. The record is from RNAcentral.
AGAGUUUGAUCCUGGCUCAGAUUGAACGCUGGCGGCAGGCCUAACACAUGCAAGUCGAACGGUAACAGGAAGUGCUUGCACUUUGCUGACGAGUGGCGGACGGGUGAGUAAUACUUAGGGAUCUGCCUUCGGGAGGGGGAUAACCAUUGGAAACGAUGGCUAAUACCGCAUAACGUCUACGGACCAAAGGGGGCUUUUAGCUCUCACCUGAAGAGGAACCUAGGCGAGAUUAGCUAGUUGGUGGGGUAAAGGCUCACCAAGGCGACGAUCUCUAGCUGUUCUGAGAGGAAGAUCAGCCACACUGGGACUGAGACACGGCCCAGACUCCUACGGGAGGCAGCAGUGGGGAAUAUUGCACAAUGGGGGAAACCCUGAUGCAGCCAUGCCGCGUGUGUGAAGAAGGCCUUCGGGUUGUAAAGCACUUUCAGUUGUGAGGAAAGGUUAGUAGUUAAUACCUGCUAGCUGUGACGUUAGCAACAGAAGAAGCACCGGCUAACUCCGUGCCAGCAGCCGCGGUAAUACGGAGGGUGCGAGCGUUAAUCGGAAUUACUGGGCGUAAAGCGCACGCAGGCGGAUUGUCAAGCUAGAGGUGAAAGCCCCGCGCUCAACGUGGGAAUUGCCUUUAGAACUGGCAGUCUAGAGUCUUGGAGAGGGGAGUGGAAUUCCAGGUGUAGCGGUGAAAUGCGUAGAGAUCUGGAGGAACAUCAGUGGCGAAGGCGGCUCCCUGGCCAAAGACUGACGCUCAUGUGCGAAAGUGUGGGUAGCGAACAGGAUUAGAUACCCUGGUAGUCCACACCGUAAACGCUGUCUACUAGCUGUUUGUGUAUUUAAUACGUGAGUAGCGUAGCUAACGCGCUAAGUAGACCGCCUGGGGAGUACGGCCGCAAGGUUAAAACUCAAAUGAAUUGACGGGGGCCCGCACAAGCGGUGGAGCAUGUGGUUUAAUUCGAUGCAACGCGAAGAACCUUACCUACACUUGACAUCCAGAGAACUUACCAGAGAUGGUUUGGUGCCUUCGGGAACUCUGAGACAGGUGCUGCAUGGCUGUCGUCAGCUCGUG